This 253-nucleotide ribosomal RNA is filed under the name uncultured bacterium. RNAcentral describes it as "partial 16S ribosomal RNA". It matches the Rfam family "Bacterial small subunit ribosomal RNA", at positions 524 to 776 of the family's 1533-position model. The record is from RNAcentral.
UACGGAGGGGGCGAGCGUUAUUCGGAAUUAUUGGGCGUAAAGGGCGCGCAGGCGGCGUGCCAAGUCGGAGGUGAAAUCCCGGGGCUCAACCUCAGAACUGCCUUCGAUACUGGCGAUCUUGAGUCCGGGAGAGGUGAGUGGAACUCCUAGUGUAGAGGUGAAAUUCGUAGAUAUUAGGAAGAACACCAGUGGCGAAGGCGGCUCACUGGCCCGGUACUGACGCUGAAACGCGAAAGCGUGGGGAGCAAACAGG